RNAcentral lists this ribosomal RNA (118 nucleotides) under uncultured bacterium. Its description in RNAcentral is "partial 16S ribosomal RNA". It matches the Rfam family "Bacterial small subunit ribosomal RNA", at positions 1357 to 1482 of the family's 1533-position model. The record is from RNAcentral.
CUACGGUGAAUACGUUCCCGGACCUUGUACACACCGCCCGUCAAGCCGAUGGAAGCUGGGUGUACCUAAAGUCGGUAACCGUAAGGAGCCGCCUAGGGUAAAACUAGUAACUGGGGCU